Danio rerio (zebrafish) is the source of this 73-nucleotide non-coding RNA. The record is from Rfam. Lineage: Eukaryota; Metazoa; Chordata; Actinopteri; Cypriniformes; Danionidae.
GUUCGGCUAGCUCAGUCGGUAGGGUAUGAGACUCUUAAUCUCAGGGUCGUGGGUUAGAGCCCCACGUUGGGCA